Molecule: long non-coding RNA, 293 nt
Filed under: Solanum tuberosum (potato)
Lineage: Eukaryota; Viridiplantae; Streptophyta; Magnoliopsida; Solanales; Solanaceae
Description: long non-coding RNA (STUB_LNC002674)
Source: RNAcentral
AGCUCCAAAAGUUCAUCAAAAUAACAUUAGAAUUGCACCUAAAUAGUACUGACAAUGAACCAAAAUAGCUGGACGAAAUUCACACUAAUACAACACUAUGGUUGCACCAACAUAGCAGCAGAAAAGAGCCAAAAUUACACCAGAAAAGUAUCAAAACAACAUUUGAAUUACACAAAAACAGCAGCAUCACAAUAACCUCUAAAUUAGCAUUAAACUUGCAUCAACACCACCAGCAGAAAGCACUAGAACUGCACCAAAAACAGCAACAGAAAAACACUGGAACAACAGCAAAA